This 78-nucleotide transfer RNA is filed under the name Bacillota bacterium. Its description in RNAcentral is "Firmicutes bacterium (anaerobic digester metagenome) tRNA-Asp". It matches the Rfam family "tRNA". From Rfam's summary of the family: Transfer RNA (tRNA) molecules are approximately 80 nucleotides in length. Their secondary structure includes four short double-helical elements and three loops (D, anti-codon, and T loops). Lineage: Bacteria; Bacillati; Bacillota. The record is from RNAcentral.
GGAGCCGUGGUGUAGUCCGGUCAACAUGCCGGCCUGUCAAGCCGGAGAUCGCGGGUUCAAGUCCCGUCGGCUCCGCCA